Molecule: ribosomal RNA, 433 nt
Filed under: uncultured bacterium
Lineage: Bacteria
Description: partial 16S ribosomal RNA
Rfam family: Bacterial small subunit ribosomal RNA
Source: RNAcentral
AACGAACGCUGGCGGCAUGCCUAACACAUGCAAGUCGAACGAGACCUUCGGGCCUAGUGGCGCACGGGUGCGUAACGCGUGGGAACCUGCCCUUAGGUUCGGAAUAACUCCCCGAAAGGGGUGCUAAUACCGGAUAAUGUCUUCGGACCAAAGAUUUAUCGCCUUUGGAUGGGCCCGCGUUGGAUUAGCUAGUUGGUAGGGUAAAAGCCUACCAAGGCGACGAUCCAUAGCUGGUCUGAGAGGAUGAUUAGCCACACUGGGACUGAGACACGGCCCAGACUCCGACGGGGGGCAGCAGUAGGGAAUAUUGGACGAUGGACGAAAGCCUGAUCCAGCAGUGCCGCGGGAGUGAUGAAGGCCUUAGGGUUGUAAAGCUCUUUUAGCCGGGAUGAUAAUGACAGUACCGGGAGAAUAAGCUCCGGCUAACUCCGUG